Long non-coding RNA from Homo sapiens (human), 1039 nucleotides. RefSeq lists it as uncharacterized. Lineage: Eukaryota; Metazoa; Chordata; Mammalia; Primates; Hominidae. The record is from RefSeq and is a predicted model, not a curated record. The transcript is spliced from 3 exons.
AGAUGCGCUUCCGGCGGAGCCGAGGCCGGAAGCGGAAGAAGGGGACACAGACCUGCGUCCAAGCUGUGCCACCUGAGACGUGGGCGGUCCCAGUGACCGGGAGCCGGAGCUCGAACGGGACGGGCGAACAGAAGCGCGGAGGGCUUCGCAGCGUCGGCGUCUGUGCGUGGGCCAAACAUCAGGGCCUCGACCAGGGAUACAAGGGCAACCGCUAACUAGAUUCCUGAUUCCUGAUGGCUGGCGGCGGCUGACACCAAAGGUAAAAGGCCUUUUAGGGAAAGAAACCAUUUGUGAAAAGCUCUUGGGCUAAACUCGCUCUGCAAACUGGGGGCGCACGCUCGUGGCCAAACUCUGGCAGUGGGACUAUCCCGGAGCACCCGAUCCCUGGAAUCAUGUUCUGGAAACCACCGCGACGUGCGCAGUUCUCGGGCGUGGCCCUGGUAUCAUCCCACUGAAUCCUAGGAACGCGGUGCGUGCCCGUGGGAGAGCAAGAUCGCGAGGCACGAGCUGUGAGGGCACACCGCCUCUCUUGGUCCUCCGAAGCAAAGACACUGAUGCUCCCAGAAGCUGCGGAAGGACCUGGGUAUUUCUCCAGGCUGGAGAUGACUUCCAGCACCGCCACCAUGUUCCGGAUCUGUGGAAAUAAAAAGCCAUUUGUCAGGUCCCUGUCCUUCUCCACUGGGAGGCUGGAACACCCUGCCCCAGCCUGCUCCAGUCUCUCCCCAACCCCAGAGCAAGAGGAGCCAGCAGCACUGAAGCCCCCACUCCAUGUCGUCUCCUACCUGCUCCCUGGGCCAACCUGGCACCCAGUGCUCAUCCUCACCUGCCGUCUGACCUCCUCCAGUGUGUGGUGUGCGGGCUGCCCCAAGCCCUCCAGUGUACAUGGUACAUACCCACCCACCUGCUGAAACCCAGGAUGCCUGUGGAACAAGAGCUGCUCCUGAUACUUAAGAUGACCUCUACUCUGCCAUCUGAUGGGAGUGGGAGAGGAGACACGGAAGAAUUCAUCGAAUAAAAUCCACAAAGCUUAAAAGAUCAA